AGUUGGAAGGUUUGGUCUCAGCA
This 23-nucleotide microRNA is filed under the name Magallana gigas (Pacific oyster). RNAcentral's name for it is "Mgi-Mir-750_5p* (star (passenger))". Lineage: Eukaryota; Metazoa; Mollusca; Bivalvia; Ostreida; Ostreidae. The record is from RNAcentral.